RNAcentral lists this ribosomal RNA (507 nucleotides) under uncultured Pseudomonadota bacterium. RNAcentral's name for it is "bacterial SSU rRNA". It matches the Rfam family "Bacterial small subunit ribosomal RNA", at positions 397 to 896 of the family's 1533-position model. Lineage: Bacteria; Pseudomonadati; Pseudomonadota. The record is from RNAcentral.
CCGCGUGUGUGAAGAAGGCCUUCGGGUUGUAAAGCACUUCGGCCGGAACGAAAUCGCGCGGGCUAACACUCCGCGUGGAUGACGGUACCGGAAGAAGAAGCACCGGCUAACUACGUGCCAGCAGCCGCGGUAAUACGUAGGGUGCGAGCGUUAAUCGGAAUUACUGGGCGUAAAGUGUGCGCAGGUGGCCGCGCAAGUCGAGUGUGAAAGCCCCGGGCUUAACUUGGGAAUUGCGCUCGAAACUACGUGGCUAGAGUGUGGCAGAGGAAGGUGGAAUUCCACGUGUAGCGGUGAAAUGCGUAGAGAUGUGGAGGAACACCGAUGGCGAAGGCAGCCUUCUGGGCCAACACUGACGCUCAUGCACGAAAGCGUGGGGAGCAAACAGGAUUAGAUACCCUGGUAGUCCACGCCCUAAACGAUGAUGACUAGUUGUUGGGGGAGUUAAAUCCCUUAGUAACGCAGCUAACGCGUGAAGUCAUCCGCCUGGGGAGUACGGUCGCAAGAUUA